GUCCACCCCGUAAACGAUGAUCACUCGCUGUUGGCGAUACACAGUCAGCGGCUAAGCAAAAGCAUUAAGUGAUCCACCUGGGGAGUACGGCCGCAAGGCUGAAACUCAAAGGAAUUGACGGGGGCCCGCACAAGCGGAGGAACAUGUGGUUUAAUUCGAUGAUACGCGAGGAACCUUACCUGGGCUUAAAUGUAGAGUGCAUGGGGUAGAAAUAUCCCUUUCCUUCGGGACUCUUUACAAGGUGCUGCAUGGUUGUCGU
Molecule: ribosomal RNA, 259 nt
Filed under: uncultured bacterium
Lineage: Bacteria
Description: partial 16S ribosomal RNA
Rfam family: Bacterial small subunit ribosomal RNA
Source: RNAcentral